AAACUGGAAUCUCUCUUAAAACUGGCUGGGUAAUUUGCAUCUCGGGUUCAUUUUAUGUUUUACAUGCCACAGCCACAUUUUUGGCCAUAAUUUAAUGGAGCAAGGCUAUAUCGAGAAGUUAUUGAACUGAAUAGAUUAGCAUUUAUAAUUUUAGGAAAAUAUGAACCUUCAGAUGUCAGUCAUAAAGCAGCACUCAGAUGGUUUGGACAUUUGAACCCUGAAAUUAUUUAAAUCACUAGGACUGCUAUUUUAUUUAAUUGCCCAAUAAUACUAUAUACUUUUGUAUUUUUGAAUUUUGUAUAGUUAUUUACAGCUAACCAUUACACUGGAAAGUUAAAAAGGACUCUUAUUUGUUUUUUUCUGAAACAUCACAACCUCAGAUAGUAAUUGAGUAUUACUUUUAAAGUCUUUCAUAUUUUGAAUUUUUCAUUUGGAUUUUCAUAUUUUCAAAUUUUUUUAAAUGGUUCAUUAAGCUAAAUAUGUAUUUUUGUACCUGAUUAUGUAGUUUUAUGAAAUUUUGAGAAAUAAUGCUUACAUUCUAGAGUUGCUCUACAUAGCAAAAAAGAAAAUAGAGGAGCAGAUACAGUGCAAAAAUAAAGGGGAAAAAAACAACAGAUUCUCUCUACAUCUGUUCUGCUGCCUUUUGAAAUGAGGUGCAGUGUUGGUUUACCACAAACACAGAAAGAGGGAAGACAUUUGGGUUUGGGGACACCUGGAGUUUUUUCUAUUACGUGUUUGACACUCAGUGCUGUGAAAGUGCAUUUUAGUUAUUAUAAUAAAAGUUCGAUACACAUUUUCAUAUUUAUUUUCAAAUCAGUUUUGAUUAUUUGCUGCCUUUUUUAUUUGUUUUAAAGCACUGAUGUACAUAAGUGACUGCUGUGGCCAUGGGCCUGACGUUUUGUAUAUAAUCUGAAAUAAAGAUUUUCCAGUUUCAUUUCUGA
Long non-coding RNA from Carassius carassius (crucian carp), 941 nucleotides. RefSeq lists it as uncharacterized. The record is from RefSeq and is a predicted model, not a curated record. Lineage: Eukaryota; Metazoa; Chordata; Actinopteri; Cypriniformes; Cyprinidae. The transcript has 2 exons.